AAAUGAACAGGAGAAGGCAAGUAUAUACAGGUCAGUGCCAGCCCCUUAUUCAACGUGCAGGGGUACUAGAGUGGUCGAUGUGGGUUUAUACAUAUGAAGUGACUGGUAAUGGGAAUAUAUAUAUAUGUGUGUGUGACUGGUAGUAGGAUAUACAUGUAAACAGGACUGAAAAGUGACUGGUAAUGGGAAUAUAUAUAUGUGUGACUGGUAGUAGGAUAUACAUGUAAACAGGACUGAAAAGUGACUGGUAAUGGGAAUAUAUAUAUGUGUGACUGUGACUGGUAAUGGGAAUAUAUAUAUGUGUGACUGGUAGUAGGAUAUACAUGUAAACAGGACUGAAAAGUGACUGGUAAUGGGAAUAUAUAUAUGUGUGACUGGUAGUAGGAUAUACAUGUAAACAGGACUGAAAAGUGCCUGGUAAUGGGUAUACUGUACAUGUUUAUGUAUUUCUCCUGUUCCUCGAGAGAGAGAGAGCACCUGUUAGAUCAAUUUGAGUGUUUAAUCCUGCAGCAUUCCACAGGUGUUUCUGGUUUCGCUAAACCUGUAAUCAUAUCUGCUAAAAUAUGUGUAUGUGACCAAUAAAAUGGAAUUUGAUUUGAUAACUGACAAAGUCAUGGAUCGUAAAAAAUGAUCUGUAAUGUGUAAGUGGUGCAUAUGUUGUUGUCUAUUUGGUGUCAUUGAAGUGUCUCUCCAGAGUCUUACCAAGCACAACCCUGUAAACCACAUUUCCCUCAUUUGUGAUCGCUUUUUGUUUUCAAUAUUUGAUCAGAUUAGAGUUCCUUUGUCGUUUUGUGACCAAAAACAAUGUGAACAUACUUUUGUAUUUUGUAUCUUUGUGUUUGGAUGUUUGGUUGAACAUAUUAGUGAGUCACUUGGUGACAGAUGUAGACACGAUUUACAGUGUACGACUCUUUUAAAGCUAUAGGAUACAGCCAACUGAUAACCUAGCCUACAGGAACAACUGAAUGAUCAUAUACCGAAUGUGAUUGGUCUGAUGAUGUGUCCGUCAGGAGAAGGUAUCCUCCAAACCUCCAGUCUUGUGAAUGUAAAACCACACCAUUGGAUUCUUGUCUCGUAUGCCAGGAAUACUUUUGUAAAGUGCUGAGUUUUGUGUAAAAUAAAUUUCAGGUUUAUCAA
Molecule: long non-coding RNA, 1137 nt
Filed under: Salmo salar (Atlantic salmon)
Lineage: Eukaryota; Metazoa; Chordata; Actinopteri; Salmoniformes; Salmonidae
Description: lncRNA (ENSSSAG00000094909.1)
Source: RNAcentral